Molecule: ribosomal RNA, 346 nt
Filed under: uncultured prokaryote
Description: bacterial SSU rRNA
Rfam family: Bacterial small subunit ribosomal RNA
Source: RNAcentral
UGGGGAAUAUUGGACAGAUUGCGUGUACUAUAUGAAUAAGCACCGGCUAACUCCGUGCCAGCAGCCGCGGUAAUACGGAGGGUGCCAGCGUUGUCUGGAUUUAUUGGGUUUAAAGGGUACGUAGGCGGAAUGCUAAGUCCGAGGUGAAAGCCCACCGCUUAACGGUGGAGGUGCCUUGGAUACUGGUAAUCUUGAGUGCCGUAGAGGUAGGCGGAAUUCAUGGUGUAGCGGUGAAAUGCAUAGAUACCAUGAGGAACACCGAUAGGGAAGCCAGCUUACUGGACGGUCACUGACGCUGAGGUACGAAAGCGUGGGGAGCGAACAGGAUUAGAUACCCCCGUAGUCC